Molecule: ribosomal RNA, 254 nt
Filed under: uncultured bacterium
Lineage: Bacteria
Description: partial 16S ribosomal RNA
Rfam family: Bacterial small subunit ribosomal RNA
Source: RNAcentral
GACAGAGGAUGCAAGCGUUAUCCGGAAUGAUUGGGCGUAAAGCGUCUGUAGGUGGCUUUUAAGUCCGCCGUCAAAUCCCAGGGCUCAACCCUGGGCGUGCAGUGGAUACGGGCAGGCUGGAGGCAGGCAGGGGAGAACGGAAUUCCCGGUGUAGCGGUGAAAUGCGCAGAUAUCGGGAGGAACACCGGUGGCGAAGGCGGUUCUCUGGGCAUUACCUGACGCUGAGGAGCGAAAGCAGUGGGGAGCGAACAGGG